RNAcentral lists this ribosomal RNA (468 nucleotides) under uncultured bacterium. Its description in RNAcentral is "partial 16S ribosomal RNA". It matches the Rfam family "Bacterial small subunit ribosomal RNA", at positions 28 to 507 of the family's 1533-position model. The record is from RNAcentral.
GACGAACGCUGGCGGCGUGCUUAACACAUGCAAGUCGAACGGAAAGGCCCUGCUUUUGUGGGGUGCUCGAGUGGCGAACGGGUGAGUAACACGUGAGUAACCUUCCCUUGACUUUGGGAUAACUUCAGGAAACUGGGGCUAAUACCGGAUAGGAGCUCCUGCUGCAUGGUGGGGGUUGGAAAGUUUCGGCGGUUGGGGAUGGACUCGCGGCUUAUCAGCUUGUUGGUGGGGUAGUGGCUUACCAAGGCUUUGACGGGUAGCCGGCCUGAGAGGGUGACCGGCCACAUUGGGACUGAGAUACGGCCCAGACUCCUACGGGAGGCAGCAGUGGGGAAGAUUGCACAAUGGGCGGAAGCCUGAUGCAGCAACGCCGCGUGCGGGAUGACGGCCUUCGGGGUGUAAACCGCUUUCGCCUGUGACGAAGCGUGAGUGACGGUAAUGGGUAAAGAAGCACCGGCUAACUACGUG